This 1447-nucleotide ribosomal RNA is filed under the name Kocuria sp. RNAcentral's name for it is "bacterial SSU rRNA". It matches the Rfam family "Bacterial small subunit ribosomal RNA". The record is from RNAcentral. Lineage: Bacteria; Bacillati; Actinomycetota; Actinomycetes; Micrococcales; Micrococcaceae.
GAACGCUGGCGGCGUGCUUAACACAUGCAAGUCGAACGAUGAUGCCCAGCUUGCUGGGCGGAUUAGUGGCGAACGGGUGAGUAAUACGUGAGUAACCUGCCCUUGACUCUGGGAUAAGCCUGGGAAACUGGGUCUAAUACUGGAUACUACCUCUUACCGCAUGGUGGGUGGUGGAAAGGGUUUUACUGGUUUUGGAUGGGCUCACGGCCUAUCAGCUUGUUGGUGGGGUAAUGGCUCACCAAGGCGACGACGGGUAGCCGGCCUGAGAGGGUGACCGGCCACACUGGGACUGAGACACGGCCCAGACUCCUACGGGAGGCAGCAGUGGGGAAUAUUGCACAAUGGGCGGAAGCCUGAUGCAGCGACGCCGCGUGAGGGAUGACGGCCUUCGGGUUGUAAACCUCUUUCAGUAGGGAAGAAGCGAGAGUGACGGUACCUGCAGAAGAAGCGCCGGCUAACUACGUGCCAGCAGCCGCGGUAAUACGUAGGGCGCAAGCGUUGUCCGGAAUUAUUGGGCGUAAAGAGCUCGUAGGCGGUUUGUCGCGUCUGCUGUGAAAGCCCGGGGCUCAACCCCGGGUCUGCAGUGGGUACGGGCAGACUAGAGUGCAGUAGGGGAGACUGGAAUUCCUGGUGUAGCGGUGAAAUGCGCAGAUAUCAGGAGGAACACCGAUGGCGAAGGCAGGUCUCUGGGCUGUUACUGACGCUGAGGAGCGAAAGCAUGGGGAGCGAACAGGAUUAGAUACCCUGGUAGUCCAUGCCGUAAACGUUGGGCACUAGGUGUGGGGGACAUUCCACGUUUUCCGCGCCGUAGCUAACGCAUUAAGUGCCCCGCCUGGGGAGUACGGCCGCAAGGCUAAAACUCAAAGGAAUUGACGGGGGCCCGCACAAGCGGCGGAGCAUGCGGAUUAAUUCGAUGCAACGCGAAGAACCUUACCAAGGCUUGACAUUCACCGGACCGCCCCAGAGAUGGGGUUUCCCUUCGGGGCUGGUGGACAGGUGGUGCAUGGUUGUCGUCAGCUCGUGUCGUGAGAUGUUGGGUUAAGUCCCGCAACGAGCGCAACCCUCGUUCUAUGUUGCCAGCACGUGAUGGUGGGGACUCAUAGGAGACUGCCGGGGUCAACUCGGAGGAAGGUGGGGAUGACGUCAAAUCAUCAUGCCCCUUAUGUCUUGGGCUUCACGCAUGCUACAAUGGCCGGUACAAAGGGUUGCGAUACUGUGAGGUGGAGCUAAUCCCAAAAAGCCGGUCUCAGUUCGGAUUGAGGUCUGCAACUCGACCUCAUGAAGUCGGAGUCGCUAGUAAUCGCAGAUCAGCAACGCUGCGGUGAAUACGUUCCCGGGCCUUGUACACACCGCCCGUCAAGUCACGAAAGUUGGUAACACCCGAAGCCGGUGGCCUAACCCCUUGUGGGAGGGAGCCGUCGAAGGUGGGACUGGCGAUUGGGACUAA